RNAcentral lists this microRNA (24 nucleotides) under Gossypium raimondii (Peruvian cotton). RNAcentral's name for it is "gra-miR7486f". The record is from miRBase by way of RNAcentral. Lineage: Eukaryota; Viridiplantae; Streptophyta; Magnoliopsida; Malvales; Malvaceae.
CGCUUUGCUGACGUGGAAACAAAU